Molecule: ribosomal RNA, 253 nt
Filed under: uncultured bacterium
Lineage: Bacteria
Description: partial 16S ribosomal RNA
Rfam family: Bacterial small subunit ribosomal RNA
Source: RNAcentral
UACGUAGGGCGCAAGCGUUAUCCGGAAUUAUUGGGCGUAAAGGGCGCGCAGGCGGCGGUGCUGGCCCGGCGUGAAAGCCCCCGGCUCAACCGGGGAGGGUCGUCGGGGACCGCACCGCUAGAGGACGGUAGAGGCGUGUGGAAUUCCGGGUGUAGUGGUGAAAUGCGUAGAGAUCCGGAGGAACACCAGUGGCGAAGGCGACACGCUGGGCCGUACCUGACGCUAAAGCGCGACAGCAUGGGGAGCAAACGGG